Molecule: long non-coding RNA, 873 nt
Filed under: Lactuca sativa (garden lettuce)
Lineage: Eukaryota; Viridiplantae; Streptophyta; Magnoliopsida; Asterales; Asteraceae
Description: long non-coding RNA (LSAT_LNC005417)
Source: RNAcentral
ACUUGCACCCGACUGUCUUACGACCCGGUACAUUAUCAACCAAAUUCCAAACUUGGUUGUGGUAUAUGGACUGAAUUUCGCUGUCCAUCGCCUCUUUCCAUUUUGCAGACUCUGGGCCUGCCAUGGAUUCCUUGUAGCUGCUAGCUUCGUCCAAAUUCAUUAGUGUUUCCUCACUAAUAAACGUAUCCCCUUCACUAGUAAUAUGAAAACCAUAAAACUGGGGUUGAAAACUAACCCUACUAGUACAUCUAACAGGUAAGGACUCGUCAACGGGCUCAACAGGAGUUUCCUCCUCGGGUUGAGUGCCAGUGUCAGAGGUUCCUUCAUCGCUUUGCUCUUGAAUCUCUUCAAGAUCAAUUUGCCUCCCAUUGUCUUCUUGGCUCAUUAAUUCCCUUUCUCAGAAAACUCCUCUUCUAGCAAUGAAGACAACAUUAUCAUCCAGUCUAUAGAAAAGAUAGCCAAAAGACUUCGGAGGUGAAAUAACACUUCUCACUACGAGGUUCAAGCUUUUUGUGAUUCUCUCGUCUUCCGAAAGCCUCGCAACCCCAAACCUUAAUAUGUGCCAACGAGGGAACUUUCCCUGUCCACAUCUCGUGAGGAGUCUUGGUAACCUUCUUGGUGGGAACUAAGUUCAUGAUAUGGGCGACAGUCUCUAAGGCAUACCCCCAAAAAGCUAUUGGUAACAAAGUCCAAUUCAUCAUAGAACGAACCAUGUCUAACAAGGUCCGAUUACGUCUCUCAGCCACACCAUAAUUGUGGCGNGACUCAUCAUAGAACGAACCAUGUCCAACAAGGUCCGAUUACGUCUCUCAGCCACACCAUUCAAUUGUGGCGUUCUCGGAGGCGUCAAUUGCGAAACGAUUCCGCAUUCUU